RNAcentral lists this long non-coding RNA (3385 nucleotides) under Sus scrofa (pig). RNAcentral's name for it is "lncRNA (ENSSSCG00000055515.1)". Lineage: Eukaryota; Metazoa; Chordata; Mammalia; Artiodactyla; Suidae. The record is from RNAcentral.
UUUUUUUUUUUUUUUUUUUUUUGAUUUGGUCCAUUUCACAGUGGUCCCAGUGCAGUUAUUCCCCCAGUCCUAGAAUGGAUAAACUGAAUAGACAUACUCUGCAACUGGAAGAAUCCCCACAUUGAGUGAGAUUGUACAUGGAGAGUGAAGGCCUUUAUGGUAGGAAAGACCAAAUGGAUGCCACUAGAACUGCCUCGGUCAAGUAAAUCAAAAGCAACGACUCAUUCCUUGAAUAUUGCAGCGAUUAGUACCACCAUCAAGAACCUAAAGGAUGCAGGGGUUAUGAUUUUCACCCCAUUCCCAUUCUACUUCCCUAUUUAGCCUGCGAGGAAAAUGGAUUGAUCUUGGGGAAUGACAGUGAAUUAUCAUAAACAUACCAGGUGAUAACUCCAAUUGAGAUGCUGUUUCAGAUCUGGUAAAAUAGCUUGAGAAAAUUAGCACAUCCCCUCGUUCCUGGCACACAGUUAUUGAUUUGGAAAAUAAUUUAUCUCUAUACCUGUUAAUAAAGAAAGAUCAGUAGGAACAGUCCGUUUUCAACUGGCAAGGCCAACAAUACAUUUUCAUUUUGCUGCUUUGGGUGUAUAUCAGCUCUCCAGCCCUAUGCCAUAAUUAAGACUUUAUGGAUCAUGAUUGUCUGUUCCUUCCAUGUGACAUCACACUGAUCCAUUAUGUUGGUGACAUUAGGCUAAAUGGAGCUAGUGAGCAAGAAGUAGCAACUACUCUAGACUUACUGGUCUUAUUGGUAAGACACUUUCCUGUCAGAAGGUGGGAAACAAAUUCUACAAAAAUUCAGGGGCUUCCCAUCUCAGUAAAAUUUGAAGAUGUUCAGUGAAUAUUGAGCCUCUCGAGAUAUUCCUUUUAAGAUGAAGGAUGAGUUGUUGCAUCCGUCCUGUCCUGUAACCAAAAGAGGCACAAUGCCUAGUGAGCCUCUUUAGAUUUUAGAGGCAACAUCUUGCUCAUGUUGGGUAUGCUAGUCUGGUCCAUUGACUGGGUGCCCCAAAAAGCUUAGUUCUGAGUGAGUCUCUGAACAAGAGAAGGCUCUCCAACAAAUCCAGGUUGCCAUGCAAGCUGCUCUAACACUUGGGCCAAAUGAUCCAGUAAAACUACUGGUGUUUGAAGUACCAGUGGCAAAUUUUGGUACUACUGACAGACUCCAGGAGGCAAACCAGCAGGCAGACCCUUAGGCUUUUGGAACAAAGGCAUGGUAUCUAUGUGGAUAAUUACUCUUCUUUUGAGAAACAGCUUUUAGCUUUCUACUGAGUCUUGGUAGAGAAUGAAUGCUUAAACAUGGGCCACCAAGUUCAUGAGCUGCUCAUCAUCAAUUGGGUGUUACUUGACCCACCAAGCCAAAAAACAGCACUCUAUCAUCAAGUGGAAGUGGUAUAUAGGAGACUGGGCCUGAGCAGGCCUUAAAGGCAUAAGUAAGUUACAUUAGGAAGUGGCCCAAAUGCCUACAGCCCUGACUCCUGCCUUCUCUCCCAGCCUACACCUAUGGCCUCACAUGGAGUUCUCUACAAUCAGUUGACUGAGAAGAAAAAAAUGUGGGCCUGAUUUACAGGUGGUUUUGCAUGAUAUGCAGGCGCCAAGGGAAGUGGAUAGCUACAGCACUAAUACCCUUUUUCUGGGUCACCCUUGAAGGACAGGAGUGAAAGGUCACUCUCCCUGUGAGCAGCAUCUGGUUGUUCAUUCUACUUGGAAGGAAAAAUGGCCAGGAGUUUGACUACAUGCUGAUGCACGCGCUGUGGCCACGAUUUGGCUCAGUGGUCUGAAACUUGGAAGGAACAUGAAAUUGCUGAUGAAGAGGUUUGUGGAUAGAACUCUCUGAAUGGGCAAAAAGCAUGAGUAUAUUGUGUCUCAUGUAAAUACUCACCUAAGAGUCACCUUAGUAAAUCAAGGGAAUCUGUUCUGUGGACACCAGUCAGAUUCUUUUUGCAGCCACACCCAUCGUUGACAAUGAGCUCAUGAACACAGUGGCCACAGUGGGAGGGAUGGAGGCUAUGCAUUGAGCUCAGCACCAUGAGACUGUGAACUCCAUAAGGGAGGGGUUAUUGCUGUUGGCUUUGCUUUCGUGUGUCCCCAGAGCCCAUACAGUGGUAUCACAUGAAAGUGCCCAAUUAACCCUUGAAUGAGUAAAUGUAUGAGCUACAAAAGUUUUAAAAUGUAGCACUAAGGAAAGAGAUCAUCGAACAGCUCUUGGUAGUAGUUUCUUAUUAACUAAUUUAAAAAUAGAGAUAAUUCUGGACAUUUGUGAAAAUUCCAUGUGUCAAGUGAAAUGAUGGGAUAUCACUAAUAUUUGCAUUUUUAAAUCCUAGAAGUUAUUCUUUGCUUAUCACUUUUCUAUCAGUCAAAAGGUAACUGAGAUUAGGAAACACAGCCAAGUUCAAGUUUUAUAUGUGACACAUUUAAUAUGGUCUCACUCUAAUCAGUCAUUAACAAUAAAGCAGGCUGUACUUGCUUAAAUAGGUACAUUGUACUUGCUUAAGAUUUUGUAAACAUACCGUGGGGAUGAUUAAGAAAUGUGCUAUGAUGGAGGCUUCCUAAUUAUAGAGCAUUAGAAGGUGCCCCAGUGUUAGAGCUACAUACCCACAUAAAUCAAUUUCUUCCUCAUAUUUGUUGAAUGAUCUCUCACCUUUUACUUCCUUUGUAAUUUAUCUAUAAUAAAUAACUAUUAAGAUAUCUGGACUACAACAAAUAACAAAGGCUGGAGAGGUUGUGGAGAAAAGGGAACCCUCCUGCACUGUUGGUGGGAAUGGAAACUGGUACAGCCAUUAUGAAGAAUGGUUUGGAGAUAACUUAGAAAUCUAUACAUAGAAUUUCCAUAUGACCCCGCAACCCCACUCUUGGGCAUAUAUCCGGACAAAACUCUAAAGAGACACAUGCACCUGCAUGUUCAUUGCAGCACUAUUCACAAUAGCCAGGACAUGGAAACAACCCAAAUGUCUAUCAACAGAUGAUUGGAUUCGGAGGAUGUGGUGUAUAUACACACAAUGGAAUACUACUCAGCCAUAAAAAAGAAUGACAUAAUACCAUUUGCAGCAACAUGGAUGGAGACGCUCAUAAUGAGUGAAAUGAGUCAGAAAGACAAAGACAAAUACCAUAUGAUAUCACCUAUAACUGGAAUCUAAUAUCCAGCACAAAUGAACAUCUCCACAGAAAAGAAAAUCAUGGACUUGGAGAAUAGACUUGUGGCUGCCCGACCGGAGAGGGAAGGAGUGGGAGGGAUUGGGAGCUUGGGGUUAUCAGAUACAAUUUAGAAUAGAUGUACAAGGAGAUCCUGCUGAGUAGCAUUGAGAACUAUGUCUAGAUACUCAUGGUGCAACAGAACAAAGGGUGGGAAAAAAAAAAUGUAUACAGGUAGGAGUAACUUGAUCCCCAUGCUGUACAG